AUAGACUUUUUGAGUCUUGCCAAAUUUGCCCUUUUUGGCUUCCCACACCCUAAAACCUCACUUUCCUGCCAGGUCCCCAAGUUUGCUGGUGCUGGCAAAAACAGAAUCAAUGAAGCAUGGCAGACGCAGAAGCGGCACAAUAAGGCGAAAGGAAGAGCGUAUCCUGCUACUGUAUGGGCUGGAUCAACCUCAACUUGUAACUGGUGGUAGCUACUCCAUCCAUUAAUUCUUUCCCUCUGUUGAGACAACUUAAAAGUACUAAACCACUACUCUAACUCUCCUAUUUUUCCCUGACUUUUGAUCACAGUCUCUUCUCAAUUAAUUAUGUCUUACCAUAAAAGAUACAGGCAGAUACAACGUGAGCUCAAGGAACUGUUGGUUAGUAGUAGUGAAGAGGAAGCUGACUGGGUUCAUCAAAACACCAAAAUUCCCAAACUUUACCAUAAUAACUCUGACCCAUCUUUAAGCUUUUCUGACCAGGACAGUUGUGAAAGUACAUCCUUAUCCCCCUUGAUAGUAACUGCACCAGAAGAAUUAAGCACAGAUGAUGAGAGUCACCACCAUAUAUCUGAUUUGGCACUUGAAGAAGGAUUAGCUUUAUGGGCAUCAAAAAAUAACAUUACACGCCAGGCAGCAAAUGAAUUAUUGGAGCUGUUGAGGAAUAAUGGGCAUAAUCUACCUAAAGAUUCACGCACUUUGAUGGAAACUCCAAGGUAUGUAGAGGUAUUAGAAAAAUGUGGAGGACACUAUUAUUAUUUUGGGAUUGGUUCAUGUUUGCAAAAUAUAUUGAAGACUCAUCCAGCAUUUGUAAAAGAAAAUGAUUCGGUUAAACUCAGUGUAAACAUAGAUGGUAUUCCUUUACAUAAAUCAAGCAAUGAACAGUUCUGGCCUAUACUGAUAAAGUUCAGCUGCUUUAAGCCAGCAUUAGUUGCUCUGUAUUG
Molecule: long non-coding RNA, 941 nt
Organism: Scylla paramamosain (green mud crab)
Lineage: Eukaryota; Metazoa; Arthropoda; Malacostraca; Decapoda; Portunidae
Exons: 3
Source: RefSeq, a predicted model, not a curated record